Molecule: transfer RNA, 439 nt
Filed under: Acer cappadocicum
Lineage: Eukaryota; Viridiplantae; Streptophyta; Magnoliopsida; Sapindales; Sapindaceae
Description: partial transfer RNA-Leu
Rfam family: tRNA (bases 390-439)
Source: RNAcentral
AAAAUCCGUCGACUUUAGAAAUCGUGAGGGUUCAAGUCCCUCUAUCCCCCCAAAAAGACCGAUUUGACUAUUUCUCCUACCCUCUCUUUUUUUUAUUUUUUAGUGGUUCAAAAUUCGUUCUCUUUCUCAUGCAUUCUACCUUUUUACAAACGUAUCAGAGCAGAAUUUUUUUUUUAUCACAAUCACAAGUGGUGUGGUAUAUAUGAUAUACGUACAAAUGAACAUCUUUGAACAAAGAAUCCCGAUUCACAAUUCAUAUCAUUGCUCAUACUGAAACUUAUAAAUUAUUCUAUUCAAGAAAUCGAAUUCCACGCUCAAGACUUUUAAUACUUUUUUAAUUGACAUAGACCCCAGUCAUCUAGUAAAAUGAGGAUGAUGCGCCGGUAAUGGUCGGGAUAGCUCAGCUGGUAGAGCAGAGGACUGAAAAUCCUCGUGUCAC